Molecule: ribosomal RNA, 253 nt
Filed under: uncultured bacterium
Lineage: Bacteria
Description: partial 16S ribosomal RNA
Rfam family: Bacterial small subunit ribosomal RNA
Source: RNAcentral
UACGUAGGGUGCGAGCGUUAAUCGGAAUUACUGGGCGUAAAGCGUGCGCAGGCGGUUCUGUAAGUCAGCUGUGAAAGCCCCGGGCUUAACCUGGGAACUGCGGUUGAAACUACAGGACUAGAAUCUGGCAGAGGGGGGUGGAAUUCCACGUGUAGCAGUGAAAUGCGUAGAUAUGUGGAGGAACACCGAUGGCGAAGGCAGCCCCCUGGGUCGACACUGACGCUCAUGCACAAAAGCGUGGGGAGCAAACAGG